Molecule: ribosomal RNA, 746 nt
Filed under: uncultured Finegoldia sp.
Lineage: Bacteria; Bacillati; Bacillota; Tissierellia; Tissierellales; Peptoniphilaceae
Description: bacterial SSU rRNA
Rfam family: Bacterial small subunit ribosomal RNA
Source: RNAcentral
GACGAACGCGGCCGGCGUGCUUAACACAUGCAAGUCGAACGGGAUUUAGUAGACAGAAGCUUCGGUGGAUGAUUACUAAUGAGAGUGGCGAACGGGUGAGUAACGCGUGAGCAACCUGCCUAUGACAGUGGGAUAGCCUCGGGAAACCGGGAUUAAUACCGCAUAAAAUCGUAGAAACACAUGUUUCAACGGUCAAAGAUUUAUCGGUCAUAGAUGGGCUCGCGUCUGAUCAGCUAGUUGGUGAGAUAACAGCCCACCAAGGCGACGAUCAGUAGCCGGUCUGAGAGGAUGAACGGCCACAUCGGAACUGAGACACGGUCCAAACUCCUACGGGAGGCAGCAGUGGGGAAUAUUGCACAAUGGGGGAAACCCUGAUGCAGCGACGCCGCGUGAACGAAGAAGGUAUUCGUAUCGUAAAGUUCUGUCCUAUGGGAAGAUAAUGACAGUACCAUAGAAGAAAGCUCCGGCUAAAUACGUGCCAGCAGCCGCGGUAAUACGUAUGGAGCGAGCGUUGUCCGGAAUUAUUGGGCGUAAAGGGUACGCAGGCGGUUUAAUAAGUCGAAUGUUAAAGAUCGGGGCUCAACCCCGUAAAGCAUUGGAAACUGAUAAACCUGAGUAGUGGAGAGGAAAGUGGAAUUCCUAGUGUAGUGGUGAAAUACGUAGAUAUUAGGAGGAAUACCAGUAGCGAAGGCGACUUUCUGGACACAAACUGACGCUGAGGUACGAAAGCGUGGGGAGCAAUCAGG